GACGAACGCUGGCGGCGUGCUUAACACAUGCAAGUCGAACGGAAAGGCCCUGCUUUGUGGGGUGCUCGAGUGGCGAACGGGUGAGUAACACGUGAGUAACCUGCCCUUGACUUUGGGAUAACUUCAGGAAACUGGGGCUAAUACCGGAUAGGAGCUCCUGCUGCAUGGUGGGGGUUGGAAAGUUUCGGCGGUUGGGGAUGGACUCGCGGCUUAUCAGCUUGUUGGUGGGGUAGUGGCUUACCAAGGCUUUGACGGGUAGCCGGCCUGAGAGGGUGACCGGCCACAUUGGGACUGAGAUACGGCCCAGGCUCCUACGGGAGGCAGCAGUGGGGAAUAUUGCACAAUGGGCGGAAGCCUGAUGCAGCAACGCCGCGUGCGGGAUGACGGCCUUCGGGUUGUAAACCGCUUUCGCCUGUGACGAAGCGUGAGUGACGGUAAUGGGUAAAGAAGCACCGGCUAACUACGUG
This 467-nucleotide ribosomal RNA is filed under the name uncultured bacterium. Its description in RNAcentral is "partial 16S ribosomal RNA". It matches the Rfam family "Bacterial small subunit ribosomal RNA", at positions 28 to 507 of the family's 1533-position model. The record is from RNAcentral.